UACGUAGGUGGCAAGCGAUACUCGGAAUCACUAGGCGUAAAGCGCAGGUAGGAGGUUUAGUAAGUCUGUUGUGAAAGCUCCCGGCUUAACUGGGAGAGGUCAACGGAAACUGCUAGGCUAGAGUGUGGUAGAGGUAGCUGGAAUUCCCGGUGUAGCGGUGAAAUGCGUAGAUAUCGGGAGGAAUACCUAUGGCGAAGGCGGGUCUCUGGGCAACAACUGACGCUGAGGAGCGAAAGCGUGGGGAGCGAACAGG
RNAcentral lists this ribosomal RNA (253 nucleotides) under uncultured bacterium. RNAcentral describes it as "partial 16S ribosomal RNA". It matches the Rfam family "Bacterial small subunit ribosomal RNA", at positions 524 to 776 of the family's 1533-position model. The record is from RNAcentral.